GACGAACGCUGGCGGCGUGCUUAACACAUGCAAGUCGAACGGAAAGGCCCUGCUUUUGUGGGGUGCUCGAGUGGCGAACGGGUGAGUAACACGUGAGUAACCUGCCCUUGACUUUGGGAUAACUUCAGGAAACUGGGGCUAAUACCGGAUAGGAGCUCCUGCUGCAUGGUGGGGGUUGGAAAGUUUCGGCGGUUGGGGAUGGACUCGCGGCUUAUCAGCUUGUUGGUGGGGUAGUGGCUUACCAAGGCUUUGACGGGUAGCCGGCCUGAGAGGGUGACCGGCCACAUUGGGACUGAGAUACGGCCCAGACUCCUACGGGAGGCAGCAGUGGGGAAUAUUGCACAAUGGGCGGAAGCCUGAUGCAGCAACGCCGCGUGCGGGAUGACGGCCUUCGGGUUGCAAACCGCUUUCGCCUGUGACGAAGCGUGAGUGACGGUAAUGGGUAAAGAAGUACCGGCUAACUACGUG
Molecule: ribosomal RNA, 468 nt
Filed under: uncultured bacterium
Lineage: Bacteria
Description: partial 16S ribosomal RNA
Rfam family: Bacterial small subunit ribosomal RNA
Source: RNAcentral